CCUAUCAUGUGACAUGUAUAAUGGUUGCUGUUCAGUAAUGUGAUGGGGGAUAGAAUACAUCUUCCAUCAAUCAAAUGACCAGAUGGAAGUGAUAUCGUUACAUUAUACAUAAAGGUAUUUCCCCGAUAGGACCCCUGGUGCUGUAAUGACGUCACUAUUUAGCUCAGGUCGACGAGCGGCCCUGAUGACGCGUCCAAGAUGGCCGACAGGCCCCUGAGCUGUAACUUCCGCUGCCCGACUGUUCGUGACGAUGGAGACCCGAUGGAAGAAAGGAGACUGACUGGGGGCGCCCUCCAUCCAUCACAUGGGAUCAUGCUGCUGUGCGGGGACGACGUGUUUAUGUGCUUAAAAGAUCUAAACUGAAUCAUGCAACACAUGAACCGUGAACUCUAGUCUGCACCUGAAGAAAGGCUCUUUACUUGAAAAUGUUGGAGGAGCAGCUGGAAAACAACAAGUUUCAAGACAAGCGGACGGAGGACGAAAUGAACAAAGCUGCUGAAUGAGCAGAGACACUUGAAGGUCCUGGAGGAGACGAGGAGGAUGGAGGAACAUUUGGGCGCAGUUUCCAGACCUGAGGACGGCAGGUUUCUUCUUCUGCUCUGCGGUUACUCUGAGAAGUAACUUUGACAGUUUGGGGGUGGUUCAACUUUUGUCAAAUGUUUGCUGUGCAGCUGAAUUUUAAUAAAGAAUAAUUUGGUAUAACCCCCUGCGUGUGUCUCAUUGAAAGCCCGGGAGGAGACGGACGUCUCUACUCUACCGGGGCGAUGCACACUGAUGAUCCCACAGCGGUGGGAAUCGAACCCGGGUCUGACGCCACCCAAACCGGGGACGGCGCAACCACGCCACCAUGUCAUUCACCCUUAAUCAUGUUUGUUUGUUGCCUUUGACUUCUUCAUGUGACUGAACAACCUCAAAAA
Molecule: long non-coding RNA, 917 nt
Organism: Pungitius pungitius (ninespine stickleback)
Lineage: Eukaryota; Metazoa; Chordata; Actinopteri; Perciformes; Gasterosteidae
Exons: 5
Source: RefSeq, a predicted model, not a curated record